Molecule: ribosomal RNA, 450 nt
Filed under: uncultured bacterium
Lineage: Bacteria
Description: partial 16S ribosomal RNA
Rfam family: Bacterial small subunit ribosomal RNA
Source: RNAcentral
CCUACGGGGGGCUGCAGUAAGGAAUAUUGGUCAAUGGAGGAAACUCUGAACCAGCCAUCCCGCGUGAAGGAUGAAGGGGCUCUGCCUUGUAAACUUCUUUUGUCUGGGGCGAAAAAGCUCGAUUUAUCGAGAACUGACGGUACCAGAAGAAUACGCACCGGCUAACUCCGUGCCAGCAGCCGCGGUAAUACGGAGGUUGCAAGCGUUAUCCGGAUUCACGGGGUUGUAGGGGUCCGUAGAAGGCAGAGGUGAAAGGCUGUGGCUUAACCAUGGAAUUGCCAUUGAUACUGCAGAGCUUGAAUGAGGUUGAGGGUGGCGGAAUGUGAAAUGUAGCGGUGAAAUGCUUAGAUAUGUCAUGGAACACCGAUGGCGAAGGCAGCUGACUGGACCUAUAUUGACGCUGAGGCACGAAAGCGUGGGGAGCGAACAGGAUUAGAUACCCCAGUAGUC